RNAcentral lists this ribosomal RNA (460 nucleotides) under uncultured bacterium. Its description in RNAcentral is "partial 16S ribosomal RNA". It matches the Rfam family "Bacterial small subunit ribosomal RNA", at positions 338 to 795 of the family's 1533-position model. The record is from RNAcentral.
CCUACGGGUGGCAGCAGUGAGGAAUCUUGGUCAAUGGUCGCGAGCCUGAACCAGCCAAGUAGCGUGAAGGAUGACUGCACUACGGGUCGUAAACUUCUUUUAUAAAGGAAUAAAGUGAGGCACGUGUGCCUUUUUGUCUGUACUUUAUGAAUAAGGAUCGGCUAACUCCGUGCCAGCAGCCGCGGUAAUACGGAGGAUCCGAGCGUUAUCCGGAUUUAUUGGGUUUAAAGGGAGCGUAGAUGGGUUGUUAAGUCAGUUGUGAAAGUUUGCGGCUCAACCGUAAGAUUGCAAUUGAUACUGGCAGCCUUGAGUUCAGGUGAGGUAGGCGGAAUGCGUGGUGUAGCGGUGAAAUGCUUAGAUAUCACGAAGAACUCCGAUUGCGAAGGCAGCCUACUAGCCUGCCACUGACAUUGAUGCACGAAAGUGUGGGUAUCAAACAGGAGUAGAUACCCCGGUAGUC